This 465-nucleotide ribosomal RNA is filed under the name Vreelandella stevensii. Its description in RNAcentral is "partial 16S ribosomal RNA". It matches the Rfam family "Bacterial small subunit ribosomal RNA", at positions 338 to 795 of the family's 1533-position model. The record is from RNAcentral. Lineage: Bacteria; Pseudomonadati; Pseudomonadota; Gammaproteobacteria; Oceanospirillales; Halomonadaceae.
CCUACGGGGGGCAGCAGUGGGGAAUAUUGGACAAUGUGGGCAACCCUGAUCCAGCCAUGCCGCGUGUGUGAAGAAGGCCCUCGGGUUGUAAAGCACUUUCAGUGAGGAAGAACGCCUGGUGGUUAAUACCCAUCAGGAAAGACAUCACUCACAGAAGAAGCACCGGCUAACUCCGUGCCAGCAGCCGCGGUAAUACGGAGGGUGCGAGCGUUAAUCGGAAUUACUGGGCGUAAAGCGCGCGUAGGUGGCUUGAUAAGCCGGUUGUGAAAGCCCCGGGCUCAACCUGGGAACGGCAUCCGGAACUGUCAAGCUAGAGUGCAGGAGAGGAAGGUAGAAUUCCCGGUGUAGCGGUGAAAUGCGUAGAGAUCGGGAGGAAUACCAGUGGCGAAGGCGGCCUUCUGGACUGACACUGACACUGAGGUGCGAAAGCGUGGGUAGCAAACAGGAUUAGAUACCCGAGUAGUC